AAAAAGGCAAACCCUGAAUUUUCGUGUCCAACUUUAACUGUCCGUCUUAUAUGAAAUUUUUUUAUAAUUUAUAUUUGUAUUGUUGUUAGAUGAUCAAACAUGAUUAAUAUUUUAUGCGUGACUUGUCUUUUUAAUUUUUACCAUAAUUUUUUGAAAUAAGACGGACGGUCAAACGUUAGGCACGGAAACCAGGGUUUGUCUUUUU
Oryza rufipogon (brownbeard rice) is the source of this 205-nucleotide microRNA precursor. It matches the Rfam family "MIR812 microRNA precursor family". The record is from Rfam. Lineage: Eukaryota; Viridiplantae; Streptophyta; Magnoliopsida; Poales; Poaceae.